Molecule: ribosomal RNA, 2898 nt
Filed under: Clostridioides difficile
Lineage: Bacteria; Bacillati; Bacillota; Clostridia; Peptostreptococcales; Peptostreptococcaceae
Description: Clostridium difficile Bacterial large subunit ribosomal RNA
Rfam family: Bacterial large subunit ribosomal RNA
Source: Rfam by way of RNAcentral
GGUCAAGUUAUUAAGGGUGCAGGGCGGAUGCCUUGGCACUAGGAGCCGAUGAAGGACGUGAUAAGCUGCGAUAAGCUUCGGGGAGUUGCACGUAAACUUUGAUCCGAAGAUUUCCGAAUGAGGAAACUCACUUAGAGUAAUGUCUAAGUAUCAUUAAGUGAAUACAUAGCUUAAUGAGGGGAACUCAGGGAACUGAAACAUCUAAGUACCUGAAGGAAGAGAAAGAAAUUCGAUUCCGUAAGUAGCGGCGAGCGAACGCGGAUUAGCCCAAACCAAUAAAGUUUUCUUUAUUGGGGUUGCGGACAUAUCAUAACGAAGAGGUAUCGUAAUUGAAGAGGUUUGGAAAGACCCACCACAGAAGGUAAUAGUCCUGUAUGUUAAACGAGAAGACUUUAGAUAUGAUCCAGAGUACCACGGGACACGUGAAACCCUGUGGGAAGCAGGAGGGACCACCCUCCAAGGCUAAAUACUACCUAGUGACCGAUAGCGUAUAGUACCGUGAGGGAAAGGUGAAAAGAACCCCGGGAGGGGAGUGAAAUAGAACCUGAAACCCUGCACUUACAAGCUGUGGAAGCACAUUUCUUGUGUGACCGCGUACUUUUUGUAGAACGGGCCAACGAGUUACGUUAAGUAGCAAGGUUAAGCACUUAAGGUGUGGAGCCGUAGCGAAAGCGAGUUUUAACUGAGCGUUCAGUUACUUGACGUAGACCCGAAACCGGGCGACCUACCCAUGAGCAGGAUGAAGCGAAAGUAAAAUUUCGUGGAGGUCCGAACCCACGAGCGUUGAAAAGCUCGGGGAUGACUUGUGGGUAGCGGUGAAAUUCCAAUCGAGCCCGGAGAUAGCUGGUUCUCCCCGAAAUAGCUUUAGGGCUAGCCUCAAGGUGAGAGAUACGGAGGUAGAGCACUGAAUGUCCUAGGGGGUAUUGCACCUACCGAAGACUAUCAAACUCCGAAUGCCGUCAUCUUAUACUUGGGAGUCAGACUGUGGGUGAUAAGAUUCAUAGUCGAAAGGGCAACAGCCCAGAUCGUCAGCUAAGGUCCCUAAAUGUAAGUUAAGUGGUAAAGGAUGUGGGAUUGCACAGACAACCAGGAUGUUGGCUUAGAAGCAGCCACUCAUUCAAAGAGUGCGUAAUAGCUCACUGGUCGAGUGAUCCUGCGCCGAAGAUUUCCGGGGCUAAAACUUACUACCGAAGCUACGGCAUCAGUAAUGAUGGGUAGGGGAGCUUCCCAUACGGGUUGAAGCAUGACCGUAAGGACAUGUGGACAGUAUGGGAGUGAGAAUGUUGGCAUGAGUAGCGAGAUGUGGGUGGGAAUCCCACAGGCCGUAAACCCAAGGUUUCCAGGGGAAGGUUCGUCCGCCCUGGGUUAGUCGGGACCUAAGCUGAGGCCGAAAGGCGUAGGUGAUGGACAACAGGUUGAUAUUCCUGUACUACCGAUAACCAUUUGAGAGAAGGGAUGACACAGUAGGAUAAGCUAAGCACACUGUUGGUUAUGUGUGCCCAAGCAUUGAGGCAGUCAAAGUAGGCAAAUCCGCUUUGAUAAUGCUGGGAUGUGAUGGGGAGCGAAAUUUAGUAGCGAAGUAGCUGAUUUCACACUGUCAAGAAAAGUCUCUAUCGAGGUUAAAGGUACCCGUACCGCAAACCGACACAGGUGGGUGAGGAGAGUAUCCUAAGGCCAGCGAGAGAACUGUUGUUAAGGAACUCGGCAAAAUGACCCCGUAACUUAGGGAUAAGGGGUGCCACCAUCAGGUGGCCGCAGAGAAUAGGCCCAAGCGACUGUUUACCAAAAACAUAGGUUUCUGCUAAGUCGCAAGACGAUGUAUAGGAGCUGACGCCUGCCCGGUGCUGGAAGGUUAAGGGGAUCUGUUAGAGCAAUCGAAGCAGUGAACUUAAGCCCCAGUAAACGGCGGCCGUAACUAUAACGGUCCUAAGGUAGCGAAAUUCCUUGUCGGGUAAGUUCCGACCCGCACGAAAGGCGUAACGAUUUGGGCACUGUCUCAACAACAGACUCGGUGAAAUUGUAAUUCCGGUGAAGAUGCCGGAUACCUGCGACAGGACGGAAAGACCCCAUGGAGCUUUACUGUAGCUUGACAUUGGGUCUUGGUACUACAUGUACAGGAUAGGUGGGAGGCUUUGAAACCAGGACGCCAGUUUUGGCGGAGCCAUCCUUGGGAUACCACCCUUGUAGUACUGGGACUCUAACCAUAGGCCAUGAAUCUGGUCUUGGGACACUGUCAGGUGGGCAGUUUGACUGGGGCGGUCGCCUCCCAAAAGGUAACGGAGGCGCUCAAAGGUUCUCUCAGUACGGUCGGAAAUCGUACGUAGAGUGUAAAGGCAAAAGAGAGCUUGAUUGCAAGACAUACAGGUCGAGCAAGGAUGAAAAUCGGACUUAGUGAUCCGGUGGUUCUGCGUGGAAGGGCCAUCGCUCAACGGAUAAAAGCUACCCUGGGGAUAACAGGCUUAUCUCCCCCAAGAGUCCACAUCGACGGGGAGGUUUGGCACCUCGAUGUCGGCUCAUCACAUCCUGGGGCUGUAGUAGGUCCCAAGGGUUGGGCUGUUCGCCCAUUAAAGUGGUACGCGAGCUGGGUUCAGAACGUCGUGAGACAGUUCGGUCCCUAUCCGUCGCAGGCGUAGGAAAUUUGAGAAGACCUGUCCUUAGUACGAGAGGACCGGGAUGGACGUACCUCUGGUGUACCAGUUGUUCUGCCAAGGGCAUGGCUGGGUAGCUAUGUACGGAAUGGAUAAGCGCUGAAAGCAUCUAAGCGCGAAGCCAACUUCAAGAUAAGAUUUCCCACCGCAAGGGUAAGACCCCAGAAAGACUAUCUGGUUGAUAGGUCGAAGGUGUAAGUGCAGCAAUGUAUUUAGCUUAUCGAUACUAAUAGGUCGAGGACUUGACCAA